Molecule: ribosomal RNA, 484 nt
Filed under: uncultured bacterium
Lineage: Bacteria
Description: partial 16S ribosomal RNA
Rfam family: Bacterial small subunit ribosomal RNA
Source: RNAcentral
AUUGAACGCUGGCGGCAGGCCUAACACAUGCAAGUCGAGCGGAUGAAGGGAGCUUGCUCCUGGAUUCAGCGGCGGACGGGUGAGUAAUGCCUAGGAAUCUGCCUGGUAGUGGGGGAUAACGUCCGGAAACGGGCGCUAAUACCGCAUACGUCCUGAGGGAGAAAGUGGGGGAUCUUCGGACCUCACGCUAUCAGAUGAGCCUAGGUCGGAUUAGCUAGUUGGUGGGGUAAAGGCCUACCAAGGCGACGAUCCGUAACUGGUCUGAGAGGAUGAUCAGUCACACUGGAGCUGAGACACGGUCCAGACUCCUACGGGAGGCAGCAGUGGGGAAUGUUGGACAAUAGGCGAAAGCCUGAUCCAGCCAUGCCGCGUGUGUGAAGAAGGUCUUCGGAUUGUAAAGCACUUUAAGUUGGGAGGAAGGGCAGUAAGUUAAUACCUUGCUGUUUUGACGUUACCAACAGAAUAAGCACCGGCUAACUUCGUG